Long non-coding RNA from Bactrocera tryoni, 286 nucleotides. RefSeq lists it as uncharacterized. The record is from RefSeq and is a predicted model, not a curated record. Lineage: Eukaryota; Metazoa; Arthropoda; Insecta; Diptera; Tephritidae. The transcript has 3 exons.
AGGCGACCAAUUGACUUGACUAAUGUGAAACCGCACGCUAUCGGGCACAAGUAGCAACUGUCGGUCUGUAGAAUUCAAACACCCAUUGCUACUAGAUUUUGAGUGUAGUCGGCUAUAGAAACUGUUGCACUGAUGUUAGGAGAGUUGCGUGCUCUUGAAUAUAUGUAUAUAUUUAAAAUCAUCAAAGCAAUAGCCACUUUGUUAACGUAAACAAACGCACGAUCAGUAGGUGAGAGAUAAGAUGACGAGAGAGCGAAAACGUGUUAGAGAGUAAAAUAGCAUAGGA